CAUCUAUAAGUAAGGAAACACAUCAUGAAUAAUUCUUUAACUUUUUAUUGUCCAUUGAACUGGUCAGUGCUGAGAUAAGCAUCAAAUUAAUAUUAAAUAUUCAAGUCGAACAACUGUUAUUAUUUUCGGAAUAUUUGUAUUUCAUUUCAAUUGCUGCAUUAGCAAUUUGGUAAAGCUUUUGGAGUCUGGAGUUGCGUUUUCAUAUAUAGGAUUUCUAAUAAAGCUACAUUUUUCUACUGUUGCAGACUAUUAACUUUAAGAAUUGUCUGUGCCAAGCCCGUGUUUAACAUCAAUAAGUAAAAAUGGAUUGUCUAUUUGUAACAAUACAAUACAAUACAAAUUUUAUUUCAAGUCGGUUUGUACAUAACAAGUAUAACAUUAGCCAUGUAUCACUAUUGACCGACAUAAUAUAACAACAAACAUAUAACAAAUAUACAAUUGAACAUUACAUGAAAUUUACAUUAUAUAAACAAACAGUAUCGUCCUUGAGUUGAGAUCAAUUAUAAUAAAUAAAUUAAUUAAUUAACCUGAAUACAAUAAACGUGAUUAUUUUAACAUGUUAAAAACGAAAGAACUAUGGCAUGUGAUAUACAAUUAUAAUAUUUAGACAGUUAAGAUCAUAGCAUUAUUAAAAAUAAAUUAAAGAUAACUUAUAAGAAUAAAAAUUGUGCUGCAGUUGCUGAUCUUGACCUUGGUUUAUGAGCUGCUAUAAAAAAAAUAAAAAAUAAGGUAAAAGUCUGACAAUGAAUAUGGACACUAAAGUGUGACAGAUAAAAAAAGAAAAACCGUAGACUUAAGAUUGUCUGUUUGUAACUGUAAGUACAAUAAUAUUAUAUCAAAUCUAUCUUACAGUUAAAGUAUGUACCUAAUAUUGUCCAGGUUGUUGUUGACAGACUCCACAAAGUUAUGCACAGUUCUGGACACGCUCGAGCGACUGAUGCCAUGGGUGUCGGCUAGUUCCGAAUAGAAUGCCCCUUUCGCAAGAAAUCUUAGGCUGACGAGGA
This is a long non-coding RNA of Dreissena polymorpha, 1004 nucleotides long. RefSeq lists it as uncharacterized. NCBI's taxonomy places the organism in Eukaryota, Metazoa, Mollusca, Bivalvia, Myida, Dreissenidae. The transcript has 2 exons. The record is from RefSeq and is a predicted model, not a curated record.